AUUGAACGCUGGCGGAAUGCUUUACACAUGCAAGUCGAACGGCAGCACGGACUUCGGUCUGGUGGCGAGUGGCGAACGGGUGAGUAAUAUAUCGGAACGUGCCCAGUCGUGGGGGAUAACGUAGUGAAAAUUACGCUAAUACCGCAUACGAUCUAUGGAUGAAAGCGGGGGACCUUUGGGCCUCGCGCGAUUGGAGCGGCCGAUAUCAGAUUAGGUAGUUGGUGGGGUAAAGGCUCACCAAGCCAACGAUCUGUAGCUGGUCUGAGAGGACGACCAGCCACACUGGGACUGAGACACGGCCCAGACUCCUACGGGAGGCAGCAGUGGGGAAUUUUGGACAAUGGACGCGAGUCUGAUCCAGCCAUUCCGCGUGCAGGACGAAGGCCUUCGGGUUGUAAACUGCUUUUGUACAGAACGAAAAGGUUUCUACUAAUACUAGGAGCUCAUGACGGUACUGUAAGAAUAAGCACCGGCUAACUACGUGCCAGCAGCCGCAGUAA
Molecule: ribosomal RNA, 500 nt
Filed under: uncultured bacterium
Lineage: Bacteria
Description: partial 16S ribosomal RNA
Rfam family: Bacterial small subunit ribosomal RNA
Source: RNAcentral